UACGGGAGGCAGCAGUGGGGAACAUUGCACAAUGGGCGCAAGCCUGAUGCAGCCAUGCCGCGUGUAUGAAGAAGGCCUUCGGGUUGUAAAGUACUUUCAGCGAGGAGGAAGGCGACAAGGUUAAUAACCUUGUUGAUUGACGUUACCCGCAGAAGAAGCACCGGCUAACUCCGUGCCAGCAGCCGCGGUAAUAAU
This 195-nucleotide ribosomal RNA is filed under the name uncultured bacterium. RNAcentral describes it as "partial 16S ribosomal RNA". It matches the Rfam family "Bacterial small subunit ribosomal RNA", at positions 340 to 526 of the family's 1533-position model. The record is from RNAcentral.